UUCCGGUUGAUCCUGCCGGAGGCCAUUGCUAUUGGAGUCCGAUUUAGCCAUGCUAGUCGCACGGGUUCAGACCCGUGGCGAAUAGCUCCGUAACACGUGGCCAAACUACCCUAUGGAUCGGAAUAACCUCGGGAAACUGAGGCUAAUACCGAAUACCGCUCUCACGUUGGAAUUACAGAGAGCACGAAACGCUCCGGCGCCAUAGGAUGUGGCUGCGGCCGAUUAGGUAGACGGUGGGGUAACGGCCCACCGUGCCGAUAAUCGGUACGGGUUGUGAGAGCAAGAACCCGGAGACGGUAUCUGAGACAAGAUACCGGGCCCUACGGGGCGCAGCAGGCGCGAAACCUUUACACUGCACGAACGUGCGAUAAGGGGACUCCAAGUGCGAGGGCAUACAGUCCUCGCUUUUCCCUACCGUAAGGUGGUAGGUGAAUAAGAGCUGGGCAAGACCGGUGCCAGCCGCCGCGGUAAUACCGGCAGCUCGAGUGAUGGCCAAUAUUAUUGGGCCUAAAGCGUCCGUAGCUGGCCGAACAGGUCCGUCGGGAAAUCCGCUCGCUCAACGAGCGGACGUCCGGCGGAAACCAGUCGGCUUGGGACCGGAAGACCCGAGGGGUACGUCCGGGGUAGGAGUGAAAUCCUGUAAUCCUGGACGGACCACCGGUGGCGAAAGCGCCUCGGGAGGACGGAUCCGACAGUGAGGGACGAAAGCUUGGGUCACGAACCGGAUUAGAUACCCGGGUAGUCCAAGCUGUAAACGAUGCUCGCUAGGUGUGGCACUGGCUACGAGCCAGUGCUGUGCCGUAGGGAAGCCGAGAAGCGAGCCGCCUGGGAAGUACGUCCGCAAGGAUGAAACUUAAAGGAAUUGGCGGGGGAGCACUACAACCGGAGGAGCCUGCGGUUUAAUUGGAUUCAACGCCGGA
Molecule: ribosomal RNA, 920 nt
Filed under: uncultured archaeon
Lineage: Archaea
Description: bacterial SSU rRNA
Rfam family: Archaeal small subunit ribosomal RNA
Source: RNAcentral